GGGUUGUGAGGUUAAGUGACUAAGCGUACACGGUGGAUGCCUAGGCAGUCAGAGGCGAUGAAGGACGUGCUAAUCUGCGAUAAGCGUCGGUGAGCUGAUAUGAAGCAUUAUUAGCCGGCGAUGUCCGAAUGGGGAAACCCAGUGCAAUCCGUUGCACUAUCGUUAAGUGAAUCCAUAGCUUAACGAGGCGAACCAGGGGAACUGAAACAUCUAAGUACCCUGAGGAAAAGAAAUCAACCGAGAUUCCCCCAGUAGCGGCGAGCGAACGGGGAAGAGCCCAGAACCUGAAUCAGUUUGUGCAUUAGUGGAAGCGUCUGGAAAGUCGCGCGAUACAGGGUGAUAGCCCCGUACACGAAGGUGCACAGCUGUGAGUUCGAUGAGUAGGGCGGGACACGUGUUAUCCUGUCUGAAUAUGGGGGGACCAUCCUCCAAGGCUAAAUACUCCUGACUGACCGAUAGUGAACCAGUACCGUGAGGGAAAGGCGAAAAGAACCCCGGCGAGGGGAGUGAAAUAGAACCUGAAACCGUGUACGUACAAGCAGUGGGAGCAUCCUUUUGGGUGUGACUGCGUACCUUUUGUAUAAUGGGUCAGCGACUUAUAUUUUGUAGCAAGGUUAACCGAAUAGGGGAGCCGUAGGGAAACCGAGUCUUAACUGGGCGUCUAGUUGCAAGGUAUAGACCCGAAACCCGGUGAUCUAGCCAUGGGCAGGUUGAAGGUUGGGUAACACUAACUGGAGGACCGAACCGACUAAUGUUGAAAAAUUAGCGGAUGACUUGUGGCUGGGGGUGAAAGGCCAAUCAAACCGGGAGAUAGCUGGUUCUCCCCGAAAGCUAUUUAGGUAGCGCCUCGUGAACUCAUCUUCGGGGGUAGAGCACUGUUUCGGCUAGGGGGUCAUCCCGACUUACCAACCCGAUGCAAACUACGAAUACCGAAGAAUGUUAUCACGGGAGACACACGGCGGGUGCUAACGUCCGUCGUGAAGAGGGAAACAACCCAGACCGCCAGCUAAGGUCCCAAAGUCAUGGUUAAGUGGGAAACGAUGUGGGAAGGCACAGACAGCCAGGAUGUUGGCUUAGAAGCAGCCAUCAUUUAAAGAAAGCGUAAUAGCUCACUGGUCGAGUCGGCCUGCGCGGAAGAUGUAACGGGGCUAAACCAUGCACCGAAGCUGCGGCAGCGAACGUAUCACCCAAGACAACUUUGCGGAGUUGACGAUUGACGGAGCGAAGCGACGUCAAAGCGUUAAUUAAAGUCGAGUUGGCUUAGGGAUACGUUCGUUGGGUAGGGGAGCGUUCUGUAAGCCGUUGAAGGUGGCCUGUGAGGG
RNAcentral lists this ribosomal RNA (1322 nucleotides) under Edwardsiella ictaluri. Its description in RNAcentral is "bacterial LSU rRNA". It matches the Rfam family "Bacterial large subunit ribosomal RNA", at positions 1 to 1269 of the family's 2925-position model. The record is from RNAcentral. Lineage: Bacteria; Pseudomonadati; Pseudomonadota; Gammaproteobacteria; Enterobacterales; Hafniaceae.